UUGCUUCCCUGCAAAGAGGCUGGCCAAGCUGGUCUUCCCCACUCCAGGAUCUCCAAGUAGCACCACACGGUAGAGAGCCUCCCAGGAGCCUUCAGAGUCGCUGGAUUCAGAAGACCAAUCAUCUGGGGCAGCAGCCUCCCCAGGAGCCCCGUGGCCAUGACACAGCUGCUUCUGUUCCUUGUGGCUCUCCUGGUUCUGGGUCAUGUGCCAUCAGGUAACAACAUCGUGUGCAUGUGUGUGUGUGUGUGUGUGCACAUGUGUGCUUGUAAAAAUGAGGACUAGACUCUCAGGUCCUGGAGGACAGAGGGGCCUCUAUCAGCAUUUAAGUUCUGGCCCCACCACUGACUUGGUGGGCAACUUAGAGCAAGUUGCUAAAUCAGCCUGUACCUCAGUUUCCUAAUCUAUAAAAUGGGAUUCUCUCAAUAAAUAUUCAUUUAUGUUAUGAUGGUUGUGAAAUAAUAACAGUGAAAGACAUGUAGCAGUGAAAGAAAAGAAGGUCCUUGCUUUCAUGCAGCUGACACUUUAGUUGGUGGAGAUAGAAAAUAAGUGGAUAAACAUAUGUUGGGUGGUG
RNAcentral lists this long non-coding RNA (571 nucleotides) under Homo sapiens (human). Its description in RNAcentral is "non-protein coding lnc-DEFB124-2:2". The record is from RNAcentral. Lineage: Eukaryota; Metazoa; Chordata; Mammalia; Primates; Hominidae.